RNAcentral lists this ribosomal RNA (482 nucleotides) under uncultured bacterium. RNAcentral describes it as "partial 16S ribosomal RNA". It matches the Rfam family "Bacterial small subunit ribosomal RNA", at positions 30 to 507 of the family's 1533-position model. The record is from RNAcentral.
AUUGAACGCUGGCGGCAUGCCUUACACAUGCAAGUCGAACGGUAACGGGCCUUCGGGUGCCGACGAGUGGCGAACGGGUGAGUAAUACAUCGGAACGUGCCCGAUCGUGGGGGAUAACGAGGCGAAAGCUUUGCUAAUACCGCAUACGAUCUACGGAUGAAAGCAGGGGACCGCAAGGCCUUGGGCGGACGGAGCGGCCGAUGGCAGAUUAGGUAGUUGGUGGGAUAAAAGCUUACCAAGCCGACGAUCUGUAGCUGGUCUGAGAGGAUGAUCAGCCACACUGGGACUGAGACACGGCCCAGACUCCUACGGGAGGCAGCAGUGGGGAAUUUUGGACAAUGGGCGCAAGCCUGAUCCAGCCAUGCCGCGUGCAGGAUGAAGGCCUUCGGGUUGUAAACUGCUUUUGUACGGAACGAAAAGCCUUCUUUUAAUACAGGAGGGUCAUGACGGUACCGUAAGAAUAAGCACCGGCUAACUACGUG